Molecule: ribosomal RNA, 482 nt
Filed under: Austropurcellia culminis
Lineage: Eukaryota; Metazoa; Arthropoda; Arachnida; Opiliones; Pettalidae
Description: partial 16S large subunit ribosomal RNA
Rfam family: Bacterial large subunit ribosomal RNA (bases 354-482)
Source: RNAcentral
UUCUUUUUGAAAAUAAUAAAAAGUAGACCCUGCUCAAUGAAAUUUAAAUGGCUGCAAUUAUUUGCACUAAGGUAGCGUAAUCAUUUGUUUAUUAAUUGUAAACUUGUAUGAAAGGGUUAAUAAUUAUUUACUUUAUUUAAUUAAAAAAUUGAAUUUAAAUCUUUAUUAAAAAUGAUAAAAUGAUUUUUAGGGACAAGAAGACCCUAUAAAGCUUUAUAUUUAAUGAAUAUUAAUUAUUUUAUUUAUAUUUAAUUGGGGCAAUAGCUUAUAUAAAAAUAAUAUAAGUUUUAUAAUUUAAGUUAAUUUUAUUUUUUGAUCCAACAGGGUUGAUUAUUUGAAAAAGUUACUUUAGGGAUAACAGUAUAAUUCUUAUUUUAAAGUUCUUAUUAAAAAUGAGGAUUAUAACCUCGAUGUUGAAUUAAUUUGAUUAAAAGGUGCAGAAGCUUUUUAUAAUUGGACUGUUCGUCCAUUAAAUAAUUACA